Long non-coding RNA from Apodemus sylvaticus (European woodmouse), 1264 nucleotides. RefSeq lists it as uncharacterized. The record is from RefSeq and is a predicted model, not a curated record. The transcript is spliced from 2 exons. NCBI's taxonomy places the organism in Eukaryota, Metazoa, Chordata, Mammalia, Rodentia, Muridae.
AGUACCAGGAGGAGGAAGAUGGGGAAAAGGACCUUUAGGGCACGGUCGGGAUGGCAGGGAGUAAAUGCACAUUCAACACCAGAAACUCAGGAGCCAGCAGGGGGCAGCCUGGAGUCAGGAAGAGGCUUAGGCCACGCGGCCAAGGACACCUCUCUAGUCCUGUCCCACCCUUCCUUUCCCUGCUCCCGGCUCACCCUGGAAGUCGAAGUCGGUGAGAGAUGGGUUGAUAGCGUCCAGGUCAGUACCGAGGUCUCCAUCUGGCAACAGAGUAUCGUGCAUGGUCCUGGCAGACGAAGGCUCGGUCAGCAGCUUGGCCCCGUGGCUGGGUGGUGUGUGGGCAGGUAGAGAUGAUGGAGCUGAUCCCAAAGAGGGUAAGCUAUGUGGCAUCGGUCACCCACAGAGUGGACCAGGCAGUUGGGUGCAACUUGUAUCCAUGAGGCCAGGUGGACUCCUGUUUACAGAUUGCGGAUGUCUUGGUAAGUCCUAAGGCCUCAACCAGAGUGCCAGGUCCUGCUUCUCAAGAUGGAGAUGGCGGGACUCUGGAGUGUUGAUGGAACCCUGGAAGGAAAUCUCCUGGCUGAGUGAUAAGGAGCUACACCGAGUGGACAAUGGUGGACAACUGUUGGCUUGCUGGGUGCCGAGCUGUGACUCCUGCCACAUGCUGAAGGCUUGAGAAAAAGCAGUCAUGGCUCCUGAAACAGCAGAAGAUCCUGUCUUGGCCACACCUGACACUCCUGGGUGUGUCUCUGUUUUCUCCCUCUUCCUUCCUGAUCGGAGAGGCUAAGGAAGGACUGGAAUGGACCUAUUUGGAAGUAGGAGGUGAAGAAGGCUGGGGGACCCCUGGAGGAGGCAGCGUCCCGGCUGAGUUAUUACAUUGGGGUGCCUUGGGAUCAGAGAUAGCAGGAGGCACGCUCCUCUCUGCUUCCCAAAGCCACACUCCUGACAGGAACCCUUAGCAUGACUUUUCCCACGAGGCUCAGAGAGAUUGAGUGACUUGCCAGAGGUCAUAGGACUUGCAGAUCUGGCUGCGGAAGUGCUAGUCAACCUUCAGAGGUGUCCCCCAGGCACUUAUCCAUAGAAACCUGCUCUGGCCGUAGAAUAGGUCCAGGACCCCACGGGUAAUUCUAGCACUGGCGACACUGAAGCAGGAGAAUCUCCUGUUCAUCGAUGGCCUUAGGUAACAUUGCUAUUUUCUGUCUCACACACAAAAAUAAAUAAAAGCAGGGUCUGGAAGGGGCCUGGAGCUGUCAGUGAAGUCCCCAGU